This 1004-nucleotide ribosomal RNA is filed under the name Triticum aestivum (bread wheat). RNAcentral describes it as "partial small subunit ribosomal RNA". The record is from RNAcentral. Lineage: Eukaryota; Viridiplantae; Streptophyta; Magnoliopsida; Poales; Poaceae.
GGGCUAAGGACUCUGAAAUUGACACCAAAGAAGAAUUUUCCCCUGAUCUGGCGGACCUGUGAUGUUCUUCAGCUUUAUCUAAAGUCUUUUGGCAGGACAGCUCGUUUGACGAGUCCAGAGGGACGUCAGCGAGACUACUUUGAGGCAGAGUUCUUUUUUAAAGAAGAAGCUGAAGAUGCAUUGCAGAACUGCAAAAUCCCAAACAUGACCAUUGAAUGGGCUGAAGCAAACAUAUCAGACAAUCCACUUACAGGACCAGCACAAAUUUCGUAUGACCCACCAAGGUGUGACUACGAUGAUUUUAACAUUCUGGUAAACAGCUCGAGCACAACUUUUAAAUAAUUCGCUUAUUGGUCUGAAGCAAACAUAUCAGACAAUCCACUUACAGGACCAGCACAAAUUUCGUAUGACCCACCAAGGUGUGACUACGAUGAUUUUAACAUUCUGCCAUUAGUACCACAGCCACGAAACAAUCCUUUUCACAUAAAAUGGGUAUUACCUAAAAUGCCGAAAAGACAACAAGGCCAGCCAGAAGAACCUCAAUUACCAGCCGCUCGCUAUUCCCCUGAAAAAGUUAAGGUUGAGCCAGCAGACCCAAGAAAACCGGCCAAGCCGCGGUACUGGCCUAAGUUUCCAAUAUAUCUGCCAAUAAAAUGACGCCUCGGAUGAGAAAGGCUACAUCGGCUCGCAGUAAGCUCCAGGAGUAGAAGAAUCUUUUGUUGAGAAACAAGACAUUCAAGGCUCUCUUUCUCUUGUCGAGAAAUAAGACAUUCAAGGCUCUCUUUUCUUAAAAGAAAGUGCAUUUUUUGUGGAAUUGUGGGAUUCGUCCCUUCACUACUUUUUUUUGGUAGAGCUGCUGUCUCCUAGAGCUUACUGUGCAAUAGACAUGCAUGAAGUAUUCGUAGUCUUUUUUAUUCAAGUUUAGAUUUCCAAGCAUAUAUGCUAUAGCCUAAAAAAAAACUGGUCGAAAUGCAGGUUUGGUCUGUUGUUGAAGCUGUUUUUUA